AUGGAUUCAUUAUCUCACUGGAUGGCAUCAGAAAACACAGUACUGCAGGCAGUAUCCUUCCACCUGCCUGCCAGAAGAUUUCAUUUUAUUAUUCAAUUUUUAAAGCCCACACUCAUUCUAGGGAUUUCCAGUUGGGUUUGCAAAGAUGAAUCUGGAAGGGCGAAGAGAAUAAACAGUGAUUGCUCAAUGAAACUGGGAAAUGGUUGUAAAGGACUGCAAAAUACAAACCAGUAAAAAUCACAAAUAAGUUAAUUCUGCAGAAGUUUUACUGGAAGCACAAACUGAGUUUUGGAAGCAUUCACAUAUGUCUAAUGAAUAACUCGCAGACAGGUAAAAGAGGGUUGUGUACAUAGAGGCUAGCGACUUCUGGCAUGGCUUUCUUUGGGGUCGGUCUUGUGUUUUCUGGUGUUGUUUAUUUGUUUGUGGGUUUGGUGGUGUUUCAUAAAUUACUCUUUAGGCACAGGGCAACAUAAAUACACUUUCAUGGUUCCAGACCUAAGCAAGUGUGAGUUCCUCAACAAUACAGAUCACUCACUCCGUCACUUUUAGUUUUACUAGCUCAGAGAUUUCUGCUUUUUUUGGGUGCUGAAAUUGUGCUCUUGGAGUCAUCAUCAAAAGCAGCAAUAAGCACUCUGAAUAUGGAGUUGCAUUCAAAAUACAGGCCUG
This 666-nucleotide long non-coding RNA is filed under the name Cyanistes caeruleus (blue tit). RNAcentral describes it as "lncRNA (ENSCCEG00000010477.1)". Lineage: Eukaryota; Metazoa; Chordata; Aves; Passeriformes; Paridae. The record is from RNAcentral.